GGGCCCGUAGCUCAGGCGGUCAGAGCAGGCGGCUCAUAACCGUCAGGUCCCAGGUUCGAAUCCUGGCGGGCCCA
This 74-nucleotide transfer RNA is filed under the name Thermoleophilia bacterium. Its description in RNAcentral is "tRNA-Ile". It matches the Rfam family "tRNA". From Rfam's summary of the family: Transfer RNA (tRNA) molecules are approximately 80 nucleotides in length. Their secondary structure includes four short double-helical elements and three loops (D, anti-codon, and T loops). Further hydrogen bonds mediate the characteristic L-shaped molecular structure. tRNAs have two regions of fundamental functional importance: the anti-codon, which is responsible for specific mRNA codon recognition, and the 3' end, to which the tRNAs corresponding amino acid is attached (by aminoacyl-tRNA synthetases). tRNAs cope with the degeneracy of the genetic code in two manners: having more than one tRNA (with a specific anti-codon) for a particular amino acid; and 'wobble' base-pairing, i.e. permitting non-standard base-pairing at the 3rd anti-codon position. Lineage: Bacteria; Bacillati; Actinomycetota; Thermoleophilia. The record is from RNAcentral. RNAcentral also lists the same sequence under 1 other name.